This 433-nucleotide unclassified non-coding RNA is filed under the name soil metagenome. RNAcentral describes it as "partial contains 5.8S ribosomal RNA, internal transcribed spacer 2, and large subunit ribosomal RNA". The stretch from base 1 to 120 matches the Rfam family "5.8S ribosomal RNA", at positions 35 to 154 of the family's 154-position model. The record is from RNAcentral.
GAUGAAGAACGCAGCGAAAUGCGAUACGUAAUGUGAAUUGCAGAAUUCAGUGAAUCAUCGAAUCUUUGAACGCAUAUUGCGCUCUCUGGUAUUCCGGAGAGCAUGCUUGUUUGAGUAUCAGUAAACACCUCAACUUCCAUAUCUUUUUUUGAAAUGGGAGUUGGACUUGAGUGAUCCCAACGCUUUUCCUCACCGAAAUGUGGCGGGUUACUUGAAAUGCAGGUGCAGCUGGACUUUUCUCUGAGCUAUAAGCAUAUCUAUUUAGUCUGCCUAAAAAACAGAUUAUUACCUUUGCUGCAGCUAACAUAAAGGAGAUUAGUUCUUGUGCUGACUGAUGCAGGAUUCACAAAGACAGCUUCGGCCGACUUUGUAAACUCGAUCUCAAAUCAAGUAAGACUACCCGCUGAACUUAAGCAUAUCAAUAAGCGGAGGA